GGCCCAGUGGCGCAGUGGUUAACGCGCCGUGCUUGUAACACGGAGACCGGGGGUUCGACUCCCCCCUAGGCCC
Molecule: transfer RNA, 73 nt
Filed under: Penicillium digitatum PHI26
Lineage: Eukaryota; Fungi; Ascomycota; Eurotiomycetes; Eurotiales; Aspergillaceae
Also listed under: 2 other names
Description: tRNA-Thr (TGT) (tRNA-Thr-TGT-2-1, tRNA-Thr-TGT-2-2)
Rfam family: tRNA
About the family: Transfer RNA (tRNA) molecules are approximately 80 nucleotides in length. Their secondary structure includes four short double-helical elements and three loops (D, anti-codon, and T loops).
Source: RNAcentral